UUCCGGUUGAUCCUGCCGGACCCCACUGCUAUCGAGAUGGGACUAAGGUAUGCUAGUCGAACGACCAGAACUAUGUCUGGAAGUGGCACACUGCUCAGUAACACGUAGCUAACCUACCCUUAGGACGUGGAUACCCCCGAGAAAUUGGGGUUAAUCCGCGAUAGGUGUAAUGUCCUGGAAUGGUAUUACGCCUAAAGGUGUAUCAUACAUGUUUGAUAUACGCCUAAGGAUGGGGCUGCGGCCGAUCAGGCUGUUGGUGAGGUAAUGGCUCACCAAACCUUUGACCGGUACGGGCCAUGAGAGUAGUAGCCCGGAGAUGGACACUGAGACAAGGGUCCAGGCCCUAAGGGGCGCAGCAACCGCGAAACCUCCACAAUGCACUCACGUGCGAUGGGGCUAUCUCGAGUGCCACCUGAUGAAGGUGGCUUUUCCUAGGUCUUCAAAGCCUUGGGAAUAAGAGGGGGGCAAGACUGGUGUCAGCCGCCGCGGUAACACCAGCCCCUCGAGUGGUGGGGAUGAUUAUUUGGCCUAAAGCGUCCGUAGCCGGCCGAGCAAGUCUUCCGUUAAAUCCAGCGUCUCAAGCGUUGGACUGCGGGAGAUACUACACGGCUAGAGAGUGGGAGAGGUCAGCGGUAUUCUGGGGGUAGGGGCGAAAUCCUUUGAUCCCCGGAGGACCACCAGUGGCGAAGGCUGCUGACUAGAACACGUCUGACGGUCAGGGACGAAAGCUGGGGUAGCGAACCGGAUUAGAUACCCGGGUAGUCCCAGCCGUAAACGAUGCAUGCUAGGUGUUGGGUUGGCCACGAGCCACCCCAGUGCCGCAGGGAAGCCGUUAAGCAUGCCGCCUGGGAAGUACGAUCGCAAGAUUGAAACUUAAAGGAAUUGGCGGGGGAGCACCACCAGGCGUGAAGCCUGCGGUUUAAUUGGAGUCAACGCCGGA
RNAcentral lists this ribosomal RNA (940 nucleotides) under uncultured archaeon. RNAcentral's name for it is "bacterial SSU rRNA". It matches the Rfam family "Archaeal small subunit ribosomal RNA", at positions 1 to 922 of the family's 1478-position model. The record is from RNAcentral.